This is a non-coding RNA of Paramuricea clavata, 706 nucleotides long. Lineage: Eukaryota; Metazoa; Cnidaria; Anthozoa; Malacalcyonacea; Plexauridae. The record is from the annotation of a GenBank genome assembly.
AACGAGAACAAGAGUUGUAUGAGAGUUGCAUGAGAGUUGAGAAGCGAGAGUUUGCAUGAGAGUUUUCUCAACUCUCAUGUCCCGGUCAAACAAGAACAAGAGUUGCAUGAGAGUUGAUGAGAGUUGAGAAGCGAGAGUUUACAUCAGAGUUUUCUCAACUCUCAUGGCCGGUCAAACGAGAACAAGAGUUGCAUAUGAGAGUUGACUGGAUAUUACCAGUCAAACGAGCAAAAAUUCUUGUCAAAAUUUGAACCAGUUCAAAGUUGACGAGAGUUAACAGUCAAACGCGACUUUGAUCUGGAGAUAACGCGCGGUGUCAGAUCUGUGUACCUACAUAACUAGGUCUAACUCCUGUAUUCUAAAAGCUCACUCACACUCAAAGAGUCAAGAGUGGAGGUUCAAUCUGAGCCAGUGGCGUGCUGGGUACUAUUUUUCUGGAGGGGCCAGUGGGCUGUCAACCAAUAUGCGCCCCUAUAAUGUUACACUUGAUAAACGAGGGCCGAAGGCACGAGCCGAGUGCCGCAGGUGCGAGGUUUGUCUAGGGGGUCCGGGGGCAUGCCCCCCAGGAAUUUUUGAAUUUAGAGUCUCUGAAAUGCCAUUUCCUGGACUUUGGGGGAAGAUUUGACAGAAAUCUGAUGGUCAGGAAACGGCAUUAUAACGUGUCGAAAUUUACAAUUUGGUUAGAAUUUAGUAGUAGUACUUAAAU